ACGGGUGAGUAACGCGUGGGUAACCUGCCUCAUACAGGGGGAUAACAGUUAGAAAUGACUGCUAAUACCGCAUAAGCGCACAGUGCUGCAUGGCACAGUGUGAAAAACUCCGGUGGUAUGAGAUGGACCCGCGUCUGAUUAGCUAGUUGGUGGGGUAACGGCCUACCAAGGCGACGAUCAGUAGCCGGCCUGAGGGGGUGAACGGCCACAUUGGGACUGAGACACGGCCCAAACUCCUACGGGAGGCAGCAUG
This 253-nucleotide ribosomal RNA is filed under the name uncultured bacterium. RNAcentral describes it as "partial 16S ribosomal RNA". It matches the Rfam family "Bacterial small subunit ribosomal RNA", at positions 102 to 353 of the family's 1533-position model. The record is from RNAcentral.